ACGCUGGCGGCAGGCCUAACACAUGCAAGUCGAGCGGUAGAGAGAAGCCUGCUUCUCUUGAGAGCGGCGGACGGGUGAGUAAUGCCUAGGAAUCUGCCUGGUAGUGGGGGAUAACGUUCGGAAACGGACGCUAAUACCGCAUACGUCCUACGGGAGAAAGCAGGGGACCUUCGGGCCUUGCGCUAUCAAAUGAGCCUAGGUCGGAUUAGCUAGUUGGUGAGGUAAUGGCUCACCAAGGCGACGAUCCGUAACUGGUCUGAGAGGAUGAUCAGUCACACUGGAACUGAGACACGGUCCAGACUCCUACGGGAGGCAGCAGUGGGGAAUAUUGGACAAUGGGCGAAAGCCUGGUCCAGCCAUGCCGCGUGUGUGAAGAAGGUCUUCGGAUUGUAAAGCACUUUAAGUUGGGAGGAAGGGUUGUAGAUUAAUACUCUGCAAUUUUGACGUUACCGACAGAAUAAGCACCGGCUAACUCUGUGCCAGCAGCCGCGGUAAUACAGAGGGUGCAAGCGUUAAUCGGAAUUACUGGGCGUAAAGCGCGCGUAGGUGGUUUGUUAAGUUGGAUGUGAAAUCCCCGGGCUCAACCUGGGAACUGCAUUCAAAACUGACUGACUAGAGUAUGGUAGAGGGUGGUGGAAUUUCCUGUGUAGCGGUGAAAUGCGUAGAUAUAGGAAGGAACACCAGUGGCGAAGGCGACCACCUGGACUAAUACUGACACUGAGGUGCGAAAGCGUGGGAGCAAAC
Molecule: ribosomal RNA, 744 nt
Filed under: uncultured bacterium
Lineage: Bacteria
Description: bacterial SSU rRNA
Rfam family: Bacterial small subunit ribosomal RNA
Source: RNAcentral